Non-coding RNA from Chrysemys picta bellii (western painted turtle), 5270 nucleotides. The record is from RefSeq and is a predicted model, not a curated record. NCBI's taxonomy places the organism in Eukaryota, Metazoa, Chordata, Testudines, Emydidae.
CCACAAAAGCUUAUACCCCAAUAAAUUUGUUAGUCUCUAAGGUGCCACAAGUACUCAGUGUAAAAAUAAGUAUAACUUGGGCUAACAGACAAAAAUACACCUACUAGGUAGAGACUACAUGAAAGCUGGUGGGGAGCCCUCAUUAGGGUUUAUGGAAAGCACUCCAGUGAGAAGCUUGGGAUUCUUUCAAGUAUUGUUAAUACAGAUCACCACUCCUGACCUGUAUCUACACACUCCACACCAAGCCAGAAUUCUCCAGCCCAUUAAUGCAGGCUUUCUGUUGUGCCAUGGAAAGGAACAGGGCCUAUUGGAAGGAACUAAGGAUGCAUAUACAUACAUCAGAACUCCUCCUCCUCCCUCAGCCUCUAACCAAAAGGUCCAGUUUGCUUCCCCCUCCAGCUAUGCCUAGUUCCACUGUAAAUAGAUAAACUCUAUUUAGUGUUGAUUUGUAUUUCUUUGUUAGGGAUUUUGGUUCCAAGAACUAUUUCGCCUGAUACCAACCUUCUUCCAAGGAUGGAGGCUCUGGCAAAAGUUUAAAGACUGCCCAUUUUCUAACCUUAGAUUUCCAAUCUGUCCCACAGACCCAGUGCCUUUAGAGGCUUGAGUGAAGCCUGUUUGCUUAGCUAGUGCUAAAUCCGCCCUAAAUUUACACCUUGAGUAUGCAAUGAUCAGCCUCUAAUCUCAUCCAUGCUGAGGGAGGAGGCCCCAAGAGCUUCAGGUGGAUUUGGAGUUGUGACCAGCUUUGGCUCUCCUUCAAAAUCCCAGCUUCAGCUUGUCACAGUCAUGGAUCUACAAGGUUUGGUGUCUGCCCCAGAGUGUAACCAGCUCCUUGGGGGCUGAAGGGGUAACUCCCCAGGAUCCAAACAGUUCCCCAGGGAAAGGCCCAUAGCCUCCGUGACUCCGAAAUGGCCUUUGGGGGCCAGGGAUCCAUAUUUUUCUGUGUGGCUUCCUGCACCAACCCCAGCCAAGCUAGGCCCCUGUGAGAGACUUGUUCUUCACCCCUGGAGGGAGCAGUGCUUUGAUAUUUGCAGCAACAUCAAGCCAUCCCCUGGCAUACCGCAUCUGAAAGCCCAGAGGUCAGCAUCAAGAAGCAAAGAUUAAGACAGAGUUUAGAUGCGAGCAUCAGGGGUCCCUGAGUCAUGGUGCUCUAGGAACCAUCUCUGCUUCUUUCUCUCCCUGUUCUUUGUUCCCAUCCCAGGGGAGAGCACAGCCAUGUGGUGCCUUUCCCCUUUCCUCUCCAGCAUGGGGCCAGUUUGCCACCCAGUGGAAGUGGGGAGAAUGGUGGUGGCUAGGUGGGGUUUCCUUUGUGUGUUCUGCAUCCUCCUGUUCACAGGUGUAGCCUUUAUUCAAUUUAAUGGUGGUUAUCUCCAGACCUGGUCCCUUCCCUUUGCACUUAGUGCAUAGCACUAUAAAGUCCAGAGAGAAACUGGUGUGUGCAUAGAAAAUUAAAAAAAAAAAAAAAAAAAAAUUACCCCACAUUCAUCAGUCACCAAGUGUGGCUGUGGGCUACAGGGAGCUUUGGCUUUACUGCCAUGCAGAAUCGCAUCUACCUCCCUCUUUCCUGGAUUCUAACCCAGCAUGACGGUUCUACUUUGCUAAGUUAGUAGUACAGGAGGUCUGGCAGAUACUACUAGAGAAUUGGAAACCGUGGGUAGGAAAAUCCUGUGUAGCAGCAAGGGGAAAGUUUUCUAUUUGGGCAGCACAGAUAGAAAUAGACCAUCUCUUUGUGUCAGCACCUGUCCUGGGCUCUAUGAACUGUAAGGCAAUAGGGCUGCUCAGUAACUUCCCUUAAAGUUAAUCUCUCAGUGACUGGCAUAUUGUAUUCCAGGGGAAGAAGUUUCAGUUUUUCCAUGCUUGCCUCACAGCAUUUGAAAGGGGCCAUUUAAGAUCCCGCCUCUGUGUUCCCAAUGCCCUUGAAAGGCUUCUCCCUCAUCCUAGGCAAACUUCUGGUGUCUAUUUCAAUCCCAAGGAGAAUGUUCUGUCCCUGGCUCUGAAGGCUGCAUUCCUUGUGACAGCGCUGGUCAGGAGAGUCCCAGAGCUCCAGGCUGUAGUGACUAGCCCUGUUUAGGGAGUGCUUCUCAAAGAUGCAGUGGUGCUGCAGCCUCCUGCUGAAAGUGGCCUCAAACUUCAAGCUAAACUAUCUUUUUAUCUACCUAUCAUUCUAUCUUCCAUCACGCUAUCAGCUCAGCGUGUGUAGUACAGUAUAACUAUGCAGCAUUCCUAAGUAUUGGGGAAGCCAGAACCAUUGUGUUAUCGGGCAUGUCAGGAGUAAGGCUGGUCCUUCACCUCCUAUUACCAGGUCCUCGAGGAAGGGUGUGAGUAUGUUAGGUUAAGCUAUUUAUAAUAGGAAUGUUACCACCAGGAGUUGUGGAAUUCUUUUACUGUUUUGCAGUCAUAAGUUUCAUAGCAUUUAUUAUUCUUUUGUUAAUCUCAAAAUUUUUAUCAAUGUAACCCCCAAGGAGCUUACAUAGAUUCCUGGAGCUCUGUCUGCCGGCAGCUCAGGGAGGAGGAGCCAAGGCAAACUCAGAGUCUGCCUGGCAACCAAUAGGGAGUGAGAUGCCCCUCCCAGGGAGUUCAGGAGAGGCGAGAAGCCCUUUUGGAGAGGCUGGAGCCAGCCAGGGCAAGGGCAGGACUGGUUGUGUGGGGAGCUGGUGAGUCCCAGGCCUGCAAGCAGGGUUCCCCCUGAGAACUGGCCUCUAGGGACCUGACAGCUGAUCCCUCACCUCGGUUUUCUUUCCCCACGGGUGAGUCCCAAUUGGUAGUGUUUUUUGAGAAAUUUCCCCAGCCAGGCUCCAGCUCCCUAGGUGAGACUAGUCACCACAUGGUCAGCUCUGCUAGUCCAGGGAAGCUGCCUGCUGAGUGUGUGACUGGAGGCUGGGCUAGGAGGCUACAGUUGGGAUGUUAGGGUAGUUGUAUAACCUACACCUUGAGCCCUGCACCCCUUUGUGGUGAGGGGAAAUCCUGGGACCAACGCAGCCUGAUUCCUGCUUGAGGAGGAUCCCUGACAGCAGACAGCAGCCCUUCUGCAGUGACUGAAGAGCCCAGCAUCAUCUUCAAACCUGAAGAUCAUUCAUGGAGUUCACUACGCCCAGCUGCUACUGGUAACUGACGGUCCCUGUGGCUCCUCAGACAAUCUCCGUCUCCGCUCCUGAAGGAUUACGACCUGUGCAUCACCUGUUAUAACACUAAAAACCACGACCACAAGAUGGAGAAAUUGGGCCUUGGCCUAGACGAUGAGAGCAACAACCAGCAGACUGCAACCACCCAGAGCCCUGGUGACUCUCGCCGCCUGAGCAUCCAGCGCUGUAUCCAGUCCCUUGUCCAUGCCUGCCAGUGUCGUAACGCCAACUGUUCACUGCCGUCCUGUCAGAAGAUGAAGCGAGUUGUCCAACAUACCAAAGGCUGCAAGCGCAAGACCAACGGAGGGUGCCUUAUUUGCAAACAACUCAUUGCUCUUUGCUGCUACCAUGCAAAGCACUGCCAGGAGAACAAGUGCCCGGUGCCCUUUUGCCUCAAUAUUAAACACAAGCUUCGCCAACAGCAACUUCAGCACCGUCUGCAGCAGGCCCAGAUGCGCCGAAGGAGGAUGGCGAGCAUGUAGAGGACCGGUGUGGUAGGUCAGCAGCAAAGAUUGCCUUCACCAACCCCAGCCACACCAACAACUCCACCAGGCCAGCAGUGUAGCCCAUAGAGCUAGUUUAGCCUUUUAUUAUAUUUAGCAGUAACGCAAGGAACCUACAGGCCUGUACCCUGUAAGACAUUACCUUAAGCAAGAUAGAAUAAGAAUAGCGUAGCAUAGUAGGCCUACGUCCCUUGGCAUAGAUAAAGGGCCUGACAAGGAGAAAGUUUUCUAUAUGGGCAGCAUGGAUAGAAAGAGACCAUCUAUCCGUGUCAGCACCUGCCCUGGGCAUUAUGAACUGUAAGGUAAUAGGGCUGCUCAGUAAAUUCCCUUAAAACUAAUCUGUCAGUGAUUGCAGCAUAUUGUAUUCCAGGGGAAGCAGUUUCUCCAUUGAAAGGGGACAUUUAACAUCCCUCCUCUGCGUUCCCAAUGCCUUUGAGAGGCUUCUCCCUCAUCCUAGCCAAGCUGCUGGUCUCUGUUUCAAUCUCAAGGAGAAUGUUCUGUCCCUGGCUCUGAAGGCUGCAUUCCUUGUGACAGCGCUGGUCAGGAGAGUCCCAGAGCUCCAGGCUGUAGUGACUAGCCCUGCUUAGGGAGUGCUUCCCGAAGAUGAAGUGGUGCUGCAGCCUCCUGCUGAAAGUGGCCUCAAACUUCAAGCUGAGUAAGACCAAUGUACUGUGGGGUUGGUCAGGCUGUCAAGGCUAAGAUGCUGGAGGUGCCCUUUUAGCUACUAACCUAAUGGGACAAAAUCCUUCAUUAAAUCUCUCAGAUAAUUCUUGGGUUAGUCAUGUGUGGAAAUAUCUCAGGAGAGAGGAUCUGUAUGGGCCAUCUACAGGAGCUGUCCUGAAUUAUUUCUCCCCACAAACCCCUGGCUUUCUACUAGUUGCUCUGAAGAACAGUGUGCUUUGGAGGGGAGGUUGGAUUUAGUGCAGCAUAUGCCCCCUUUAAAGUUGGGGGAAAUAGAUUUGCCACCCUCUGCAUGACCCUCUUCUUCCACUCUCAGGUGCCCCACCAUUCCUGAGAACCUGAAAUUGCUGGCCCACUCUACCCCCUCUCAAGAGCCUCAGCCCCCUGGAAGCCCCUCCCCUCUACUGUUCUCUCCCAGGACCCCAUCUCCCCUACUCCACACCUGACCCCCUCCCUGCUGGCGAGCCUGGCCAUUGGUGAUGUCUGUCUCACUUCCCGGGUGGCCCUUGGUGCUGAGAGGUGCCAUCGUGGUUUUGGCAACUGUCAGGUGAGGCCCCGGUCUGCUGCGCAUACAGAGUGGGACCUGGGUGGCUUCUGUUCCAGCCAUGAUGAGCAUGACCACUAGUUACAAGAUCACCAAACAGGCAUCAACAAAAAGAAGACCAGCCAAUGACAUCUCUUAACUGGCAAGAGAGUGGAAAACCCAGCCCAGUCAGUGGCAACCCUAUUUUCCAUGUACCUGCUUAAAAGUGGUCAGGCGGUGGCCCAGGUGUCAUGCCCCCCCUCCAGCUCUGCAGCCUAGGGCACAGGCUCUAAUCUACCUUUGGUAGUGGGGGUCAUCGCUCAGUGAUUAGUGGCUAUUCUGGGCUAGAACUGUUCUGUACUCCUGGUUGUGAAAAUGCUUUAGGAUAUUGUUUUCUUUUCUGGUGCAGUCAAACUAUUAAACAAUGUGUGUUCACCACUGUUA